UACGUAGGUGGCAAGCGUUGUCCGGAAUUACUGGGCGUAAAGGGCGCGUAGGCGGCCUGCUAAGUCGAACGUGAAAUCCCUGGGCUCAACCCAGGAACUGCGUCCGAUACUGGUUGGCUUGAAUCCGGGAGAGGGAUGUGGAAUUCCAGGUGUAGCGGUGAAAUGCGUAGAUAUCUGGAGGAACACCGGUGGCGAAGGCGACAUCCUGGACCGGUAUUGACGCUGAGGCGCGAAAGCCAGGGGAGCAAACGGG
Molecule: ribosomal RNA, 253 nt
Filed under: uncultured bacterium
Lineage: Bacteria
Description: partial 16S ribosomal RNA
Rfam family: Bacterial small subunit ribosomal RNA
Source: RNAcentral